This 253-nucleotide ribosomal RNA is filed under the name uncultured bacterium. RNAcentral describes it as "partial 16S ribosomal RNA". It matches the Rfam family "Bacterial small subunit ribosomal RNA", at positions 524 to 776 of the family's 1533-position model. The record is from RNAcentral.
UACGUAGGUGACCAGCGUUGUCCGGAUUUACUGGGCGUAAAGAGCGCGCAGGCGGUCGUUCAAGUCGAGUGUGAAAGCCCCCGGCUCAACUGGGGAGGGUCACUCGAUACUGAUCGACUUGAGGGCAGGAGAGGGAAGCGGAAUUCCCGGUGUAGUGGUGAAAUGCGUAGAUAUCGGGAGGAACACCAGUGGCGAAGGCGGCUUCCUGGCCUGUUCUUGACGCUGAGGCGCGAAAGCUAGGGGAGCAAACGGG